RNAcentral lists this ribosomal RNA (703 nucleotides) under uncultured Micrococcus sp. Its description in RNAcentral is "bacterial SSU rRNA". It matches the Rfam family "Bacterial small subunit ribosomal RNA", at positions 584 to 1284 of the family's 1533-position model. The record is from RNAcentral. Lineage: Bacteria; Bacillati; Actinomycetota; Actinomycetes; Micrococcales; Micrococcaceae.
CGCGUCUGUCGUGAAAGUCCGGGGCUUAACCCCGGAUCUGCGGUGGGUACGGGCAGACUAGAGUGCAGUAGGGGAGACUGGAAUUCCUGGUGUAGCGGUGGAAUGCGCAGAUAUCAGGAGGAACACCGAUGGCGAAGGCAGGUCUCUGGGCUGUAACUGACGCUGAGGAGCGAAAGCAUGGGGAGCGAACAGGAUUAGAUACCCUGGUAGUCCAUGCCGUAAACGUUGGGCACUAGGUGUGGGGACCAUUCCACGGUUUCCGCGCCGCAGCUAACGCAUUAAGUGCCCCGCCUGGGGAGUACGGCCGCAAGGCUAAAACUCAAAGGAAUUGACGGGGGCCCGCACAAGCGGCGGAGCAUGCGGAUUAAUUCGAUGCAACGCGAAGAACCUUACCAAGGCUUGACAUGUUCUCGAUCGCCGUAGAGAUACGGUUUCCCCUUUGGGGCGGGUUCACAGGUGGUGCAUGGUUGUCGUCAGCUCGUGUCGUGAGAUGUUGGGUUAAGUCCCGCAACGAGCGCAACCCUCGUUCCAUGUUGCCAGCACGUAAUGGUGGGGACUCAUGGGAGACUGCCGGGGUCAACUCGGAGGAAGGUGAGGACGACGUCAAAUCAUCAUGCCCCUUAUGUCUUGGGCUUCACGCAUGCUACAAUGGCCGGUACAAUGGGUUGGGAUACUGUGAGGUGGAGCUAAUCCCAAAAAGCCG